Molecule: transfer RNA, 70 nt
Filed under: Gryllus veletis
Lineage: Eukaryota; Metazoa; Arthropoda; Insecta; Orthoptera; Gryllidae
Description: tRNA-Glu
Source: RNAcentral
AUUUAUAUAGUUUAUUAUAAAACGGUAUAUUUUCAUUAUACAGAAAAUAUUAUUUAUAUAUUUAUAAAUA